This is a long non-coding RNA of Sinocyclocheilus anshuiensis, 229 nucleotides long. RefSeq lists it as uncharacterized. The transcript is spliced from 4 exons. Lineage: Eukaryota; Metazoa; Chordata; Actinopteri; Cypriniformes; Cyprinidae. The record is from RefSeq and is a predicted model, not a curated record.
AUGCUUCCUUGUUAGAAGACCAAGAAAAGGACAGGAGGAGGCACUGCUAUGAGGUUUUGGAAGAAAGGCGGACAAAAGCCAUUGAGGAAAGACGUCAGCGAAUGGCUACCCUUGUGGAACCCCUAGAUGGAGAGGUUUUGAAAUUCAAAUAUCCAAAUGGAUAUGUAAACAAGAGGAAAUUCAUCAUGUCUGAGCCAAUUCAGGUCCUGUUUGAUUUUAUUGGACAAGA